UUGACUUGGAGCUGAGGGGUCCUGGAAAAACACACUUAAAAUAAAAAUUAAAAACAAAAAGUUUAAAAAAGAAAAAACACCUCAAAUUCCAUAUUUACAGAACACCUCGUAUGUGUCAAAGGACUUGGGGGACACGAAGGCGGAAGCUAUGGUCCCCUCCACUUAGGGCGUUCAGGCAUGCCAAGGAGACAGGCCGUGAAGUGUCGGUUUCUACCUCCCGUGGUAUCAGCCACACAGGGGGUGCUCAGGAAACGCUGGGUCCCUGCCCCGCCCCCUUGAAGCGCCCCGAUUCAGCAGAAUAGAAUGAUCCAUGUGUGAGCAAAGCACUGGGGCAAAGCAUGGGGAGAAGCAGUCAGAUCUGAUGGAUGGAGAGGCUUCCUCCAGGAGAAGCCUGGGAGGACGAGAACCUGAGAGAAGCAGAGGGAAGCAGAGAGAAGCAGAGUACCACAGGGCCCCCAGAAAUGUGUGCAGUCAGUGUCAUUUUGUUCUAACAGUGAUGUGAUGCCAUUGAACUUAACUCCUGUUUAUGUCAGUCAGCCUAGGGGACCACUGGUCUCCUUAAAAGUCAUUUUACUGAAAGUCACAGAACCUGCUGGUGACAUUAAAUGAGGACUUACUGUAUUGGGUGGAGAAAACAGGUCACAGAAAAAAAUAUUCACAAUUCAUACUUCUAGACAUCUCAGUCACUUGUCUAAGUGUAUUUUCAUGCAAAAAAAAAAAAAAAAUCCACCCUGAAAACAAGACUAAUUUCUGACGGUGAGGACACUUACAAGUGCCUCCUAGCAAUACUUGGGGCUGCCCCUGCUUUCUUGUACCCGUUUGUCCAUAGAAACAAGACUCAUUAAAAAUUCAGCAGAUUCACCUAGUUGAACAAUAACAUCCUUUUUAUUUAAAACAAAACAGAGUAAAGCAGUUAAAUCCUCCAAGUGGCGACAAAUUAUUAAUGACUGUAAAGUGUGUACAAAAGAUUCCCCUCAGUGUUUCAAAAGAGAAAGGUCAACCAGCUACCUAAGGAAAGAUGAAAACCAAACAGCAAUGGAAGUCACUCUGCGGGGAUACUGCUCAGUCCCUGGGACACCCAAGGCUUGUGCUGGCGGCUUGAUGGUACUUAAGACUCACGCCCUCUGAGGCGGGUUCUGUUGUUCUGCCCACUUUACAGAUGAAGAAACUGAGGAGGGAGAGCUAUUUUAGGUAACUACUUUCCAAAUUCCAGCUUGACUGGCACACCAGAAAAAGAAUACACUUCACAUUCAAAGCAACACAGAAAGUGUCUCGGGUACAGUAAGAACAAAAAUAUGUUUCCCUGUGUACACCCAGUAAUACCCAUGAUGUGAAAAGCAAGUGAAAUCAGACCCACUCAUGGGCAGAGAGAAACCAGAGUGGGUCAAGGUCGCGGGUGCUCCCAGUGUCUGCUCUCCUCGGGCUGCUGGUCAGAGAAGGGACACGGACCUGGGGCCAGAGGCUGGGCGCUGCCUCCCUGCAGUCUGCUGUGGGGUCUCACGCCGCGUCCCACCCGCACAGACCACAGAUGACCCGACGCAGGGGUGACAGGACAUACACUGCAGAGCAGAAGAACCACAUGUCGCUACCACAUCCACAACACCCUCUAAACCGACAUUUCUUGGCAGGGGGUUCCAGAAAAUACUGCUCAAUCAGCUCCUGUGUCACAUGAGAACCUUGACCUCAACUGACCUCUCGGGUUUCCUCAACACAGUUAACAGCCGCUGUUCCACGACAUUCCCCAAAACAGAUUAUGGCCCUUCUAUCGACUCGGACCCAAUAGCUAAGGACACUUGCUAAGGGGGGAUCACAGUGACAAGCUGGACCCAAACUAACCCAGCACACGCAGACAAGCGCACGAGACCCACGGGGAGGCGCCCAUUCAGUGAGCACUGCCAGCUAAUACGAAACACAAGUCCUUCUAUCAUUCGUUCGUGAACAGCCAUCUGCAGAGCAGCGAUGUGCCAGGCAUUAAGAUGCUUUGGGCGAUGCACCACGUGACACGCCCUGGGCUGGCUCCAGGGUCAGUGACCAUGAAAGCCAAAGAGACACAGCUUAGCUCUCCGGAGGGGCAGGCUUUCAACUCAGUGUCGGCGUUCAGACAGUUAAAGAUUCUACCAGAAAAGAAGGAGCGAGGUGGCCAAACCUGAGCCUGCCCCUGAUGGCCCAUGUGCGGUGGUGGCCAUGUGGUCCGGAGCACCCAGCGCAGCACUCACCAGGAAAGGCAGUCCCUGAAAGCGUUGUAAUAGGGGAACCUGGAGAC
Molecule: long non-coding RNA, 2263 nt
Organism: Rhinolophus ferrumequinum (greater horseshoe bat)
Lineage: Eukaryota; Metazoa; Chordata; Mammalia; Chiroptera; Rhinolophidae
Exons: 3
Source: RefSeq, a predicted model, not a curated record